UGGGGAAUCUUGGACAAUGGGCGCAAGCCUGAUCCAGCCAUGCCGCGUGGAUGAUGAAGGCCUUAGGGUUGUAAAAUCCUUUCGCCGAGGACGAUAAUGACGGUACUCGGAGAAGAAGCUCCGGCUAACUUCGUGCCAGCAGCCGCGGUAAUACGAAGGGGGCUAGCGUUGUUCGGAUUUACUGGGCGUAAAGGGCGCGUAGGCGGCAAUUCAAGUCAUCUGUGAAAUCUCCGGGCUUAACUCGGAACGGUCAGAUGAUACUGCUUUGCUAGAGUGCAGAAGGGGCAAUCGGAAUUCUUGGUGUAGCGGUGAAAUGCGUAGAUAUCAAGAGGAACACCUGAGGUGAAGACGGGUUGCUGGGCUGACACUGACGCUCAGGUGCGAAAGCGUGGGGAGCAAACAGGAUUAGAUACCCCGGUAGUCCCUGAGCGGGCUGGCAAGGCGCAU
This 447-nucleotide ribosomal RNA is filed under the name uncultured bacterium. RNAcentral describes it as "bacterial SSU rRNA". It matches the Rfam family "Bacterial small subunit ribosomal RNA", at positions 355 to 825 of the family's 1533-position model. The record is from RNAcentral.